Molecule: ribosomal RNA, 253 nt
Filed under: uncultured bacterium
Lineage: Bacteria
Description: partial 16S ribosomal RNA
Rfam family: Bacterial small subunit ribosomal RNA
Source: RNAcentral
UACGUAGGGUGCAAGCGUUAAUCGGAAUUACUGGGCGUAAAGCGUGCGCAGGCGGUUUUGUAAGUCUUGCGUGAAAGCCCCGGGCUCAACCUGGGAAUUGCGAUGGAGACUGCAAGGCUUGAAUCUGGCAGAGGGGGGUAGAAUUCCACGUGUAGCAGUGAAAUGCGUAGAGAUGUGGAGGAACACCGAUGGCGAAGGCAGCCCCCUGGGUCAAGAUUGACGCUCAUGCACGAAAGCGUGGGGAGCAAACAGG